CUAUUCUUACCCUUUAUGUCGUUCGCCAGCGCUUUCCAGGUAGGGGAAAAUUGGAUGCAGUGACCGCACCAGGAAGCAUAAAACUCGACCACCCAAGCGCUGCUGGAGUUCAAGACGCUGCGUUCCAGCGUGUCCGCCGACAGCAACACCAGCGGGUCGUCGGGCGAGUAGAGGCCGAGGCUGAGCGCCCCGGGCAUCGGUACCAGCAGCAAGAAGAAGGAGGAGAGGAAGACGCAAGCCGGCGGUGCCAACAGCCCCGGCCGGGCCCGAGAGAGCCUUCUCGGCAUGACGAUCAGCAAGACCGCAGUGGCUGGGAAAGGAAAGCGGCAAACGGCGAAGUGUGCGUCCGCUGCCCAGCGCCCAGCCGACAAGUCGCUCGGCCUCUUGUAGGAGGAGCUGGAGGCGGAGCGCUCCAAGCAAGCGCCGCCCUACGCAAACCCCGGGGAGAUCCGCCCCGCACAUCGCACGUGCGGCCGCCCAGCCCCCGGAUUGUCAGCAGGCCCCUCCUCCGUGCAUAGGAAGCGAGACGCAGGCAAAGUGAGGAGAGGCGGCAGGACGGGAGCAGCUGGCGACGGAGGCGAAAGCCCGCAGAAUAAAGUGCGCUGACUUCCAGGAGACGGGCUGGCUGCUUACCUUGCAGAAUGUUACUUGCUGUGUUUUGAUUGACUCCUGCAAAUCUCACAAGAUCUGGAAACACCCUUGCCACAAACACACAGAUACAGGAAAAUAAACAUAAUAUCCUCAAGCAUAAUCUACAAUUUAGCCUCAGUUUUUGGCUUGCCGCCCAAGCCAGGCCUCCUGGAGACUGGGGCCUGAUAAAGUGUGCAUUCCCUCCUCCAACACAACUGGCACCAUGCUUGGGCCCUACAUGCAGCUGACUGACAGGACAGGAGCUGUGUGGGUUUGAAGAACGCAUGCUCAGAAAGAGUACACUAAAAAUAACCUUUCUUUUUGCAACCGUCGGGGAGUUCCAACAGUUUUUUGCCUUAGGCAAGCCACUAUCUUCCAACCUCAGCCUAUUUCCCCCCACUGGUAUAAUCUGCAAUAUAAGAGUAAUGCUUGUGGCCUACCUUACAAUACUGUUGUAAUGAAAUAAAGGUGACACUCUUUUAACACUUUGAA
Long non-coding RNA from Rhineura floridana, 1122 nucleotides. RefSeq lists it as uncharacterized. Lineage: Eukaryota; Metazoa; Chordata; Lepidosauria; Squamata; Rhineuridae. The transcript has 2 exons. The record is from RefSeq and is a predicted model, not a curated record.